RNAcentral lists this ribosomal RNA (468 nucleotides) under uncultured bacterium. RNAcentral's name for it is "partial 16S ribosomal RNA". It matches the Rfam family "Bacterial small subunit ribosomal RNA", at positions 28 to 507 of the family's 1533-position model. The record is from RNAcentral.
GACGAACGCUGGCGGCGUGCUUAACACAUGCAAGUCGAACGGAAAGGCCCUGCUUUUGUGGGGUGCUCGAGUGGCGAACGGGUGAGUAACACGUGAGUAACCUGCCCUUGACUUUGGGAUAACUUCAGGAAACUGGGGCUAAUACCGGAUAGGAGCUCCUGCUGCAUGGUGGGGGUUGGAAAGUUUCGGCGGUUGGGGAUGGACUCGCGGCUUAUCAGCUUGUUGGUGGGGUAGUGGCUUACCAAGGCUUUGACGGGUAGCCGGCCUGAGAGGGUGACCGGCCACAUUGGGACUGAGAUACGGCCCAGACUCCUACGGGAGGCAGCAGUGGGGAAUAUUGCACAAUGGGCGGAAGCCUGAUGCAGCAACGCCGCGUGCGGGAAGACGGCCUUCUGGUUGUAAACCGCUUUCGCCUGUGACGAAGCGUGAGUGACGGUAAUGGGUAAAGAAGCACCGGCUAACUACGUG